CUUCGCCAAGGCUCCAGGUUGAAUCUGCCCGCGGUGAGGAGGCUCAGGCCUGGAAGUGGAAGACGCUGCUAAAGUGGAGCAGCUCCGUCACUGCCAGGAGACCGCGUCCUGCCGCGGAAGCCUAAAUGACGUCACUUGCUUGGCCAAGACUGGUUUCCGGGUCUUCUGAUUCUUCAGUGUUUAUUUGAUUAUUAUUAUAGUAC
This 203-nucleotide long non-coding RNA is filed under the name Fukomys damarensis (Damara mole-rat). RNAcentral describes it as "lncRNA (ENSFDAG00000028266.1)". Lineage: Eukaryota; Metazoa; Chordata; Mammalia; Rodentia; Bathyergidae. The record is from RNAcentral.